RNAcentral lists this ribosomal RNA (1094 nucleotides) under Limosilactobacillus fermentum. RNAcentral's name for it is "bacterial SSU rRNA". It matches the Rfam family "Bacterial small subunit ribosomal RNA", at positions 8 to 1059 of the family's 1533-position model. Lineage: Bacteria; Bacillati; Bacillota; Bacilli; Lactobacillales; Lactobacillaceae. The record is from RNAcentral.
AGAGUUUGAUCAUGGCUCAGGAUGAACGCCGGCGGUGUGCUAAUACAUGCAAGUCGAACGCGUUGGCCCAAUUGAUUGAUGGUGCUUGCACCUGAUUGAUUUUGGUCGCCAACGAGUGGCGGACGGGUGAGUAACACGUAGGUAACCUGCCCAGAAGCGGGGGACAACAUUUGGAAACAGAUGCUAAUACCGCAUAMCAACGUGUUCGCAUGAACAACGCUUAAAAGAUGGCUUCUCGCUAUCACUUCUGGAUGGACCUGCGGUGCAUUAGCUUGUUGGUGGGGUAACGGCCUACCAAGGCGAUGAUGCAUAGCCGAGUUGAGAGACUGAUCGGCCACAAUGGGACUGAGACACGGCCCAUACUCCUACGGGAGGCAGCAGUAGGGAAUCUUCCACAAUGGGCGCAAGCCUGAUGGAGCAACACCGCGUGAGUGAAGAAGGGUUUCGGCUCGUAAAGCUCUGUUGUUAAAGAAGAACACGUAUGAGAGUAACUGUUCAUACGUUGACGGUAUUUAACCAGAAAGUCACGGCUAACUACGUGCCAGCAGCCGCGGUAAUACGUAGGUGGCAAGCGUUAUCCGGAUUUAUUGGGCGUAAAGAGAGUGCAGGCGGUUUUCUAAGUCUGAUGUGAAAGCCUUCGGCUUAACCGGAGAAGUGCAUCGGAAACUGGAUAACUUGAGUGCAGAAGAGGGUAGUGGAACUCCAUGUGUAGCGGUGGAAUGCGUAGAUAUAUGGAAGAACACCAGUGGCGAAGGCGGCUACCUGGUCUGCAACUGACGCUGAGACUCGAAAGCAUGGGUAGCGAACAGGAUUAGAUACCCUGGUAGUCCAUGCCGUAAACGAUGAGUGCUAGGUGUUGGAGGGUUUCCGCCCUUCAGUGCCGGAGCUAACGCAUUAAGCACUCCGCCUGGGGAGUACGACCGCAAGGUUGAAACUCAAAGGAAUUGACGGGGGCCCGCACAAGCGGUGGAGCAUGUGGUUUAAUUCGAAGCUACGCGAAGAACCUUACCAGGUCUUGACAUCUUGCGCCAACCCUAGAGAUAGGGCGUUUCCUUCGGGAACGCAAUGACAGGUGGUGCAUGGUCGUUUUCAAG